GUCACAAGUGGGGCGUGGCUUGUCCUGGGGGCGUGGCUCGAGGAGGCUGCGGCUCUGUCCACCUCCAGGACGUAACCGUCUGUGGCUAACAGUCCUUGAGCCGGAGGAGGCCGUUGCCUGGACCCUGGGCUGACUCGGCACCUCUCUGAAGUCCUCUACACGCCAUGUGGCCGCGGCUGGCCCUACUCCUCCUCCUGCAGCUCCAGGCCGCCCGGGGCGCACCCGUCCCGGCCGCCGGCCUCAAGGAAAGCCUCAAGAGCCCGCCGCAAGGUUUCAGCGGUCCCCCGUGGGAAGAGGAGACAGGAGAGGAUAUCAGUAGCCCACAGAGAGGGCCCAACCUGGAGGAGACACAGGCCUGUAGGUGGCCGCAGUCCCGCGCCUGGGCUCCCGCUCUCCUGACUCCGGAGGGGGCUGCUCCAGAGGUGCAGCCCCGAAGCCCCGAAGGAGGACCGUGAAGGGCAUCGAGGGUCACAGGCCGUCCUGGGCGGGCUUCUCAGGAGGCCACCAGGCGGGGGACCUGGGACUCUUCCCCCGCACUCCCCAGCCUCCCUUCCUGUCUCUUCCCGGUCCCAGCAGCUGCUGGAGGGGCUGGGCAUGGCCACAGACGUGAGUCCUCCUAACCCUGCCCCCAGAACCAUCUGGAAAUAAAGUCCUUUCUUGCAGUCUA
Long non-coding RNA from Chinchilla lanigera (long-tailed chinchilla), 667 nucleotides. RefSeq lists it as uncharacterized. The record is from RefSeq and is a predicted model, not a curated record. NCBI's taxonomy places the organism in Eukaryota, Metazoa, Chordata, Mammalia, Rodentia, Chinchillidae. The transcript has 3 exons.